This is an RNA transcript of Triticum dicoccoides, 3005 nucleotides long. RefSeq lists it as uncharacterized. The transcript has 9 exons. NCBI's taxonomy places the organism in Eukaryota, Viridiplantae, Streptophyta, Magnoliopsida, Poales, Poaceae. The record is from RefSeq and is a predicted model, not a curated record.
CUCCUCACCGCCCUUUUCCCUUCACGCUACGAAUACAUUUCACAUUCCAGAAAUACCCUCCCACCACUGCUCUAACACACUCGAGCUCACUCUCUCGUCCCCCUCUCACCCGCCCCUUCUCACUCCCCUCCAGAUCCCCGCCGUCGCCGGCCUCUCCUCGACUCCCUUUCUCUCCACCACCACGCACCCCGUACCGUAGGUCAAAAGCUUGAUUUUUUAGGCGCCGGCGACGAGCUUCUGGGCGACGGAGGCUGGAUCCGCGUGCGUCCACGCCGGCUUCGUAGCGGCGCUUGAUGUGGAGCGGCACUGGAGCAGCGGAGCGGGGCUUUCUUCCUCACCUCACAGCGCCGUCCUCCUCCACGACCACGCAGCCGCAGCGGCGGAGGAGCCGAAUCCCUAGCCAGCGAGCUCAGGGAGCCAUGGGUCCAUGGGGCGACGCCAUGGAAGGGCCACCAACUACAGCAGCGAGGAGAGGAGAAAGGGAGUAGCCUGACGGUCGUCUUCCACCUCCGCCUACGCCCCCGCCGGAAAUAGUACAAUGGCCAAGGAAAUAGGCAGGAGGCGCCGCUUCCCGGAUGGAUAUGGACAUGCUUCUCCAACUCUGCUUCUUCCUGGGUCGCCAUGGAAGAAAGCAGUAAGAAUCUAAGAAAGCUGAAGCCUUCCAGCACACUGCAGCAAUAAGAAGAGCGCAAGUCGAACAAGGACACAGCUCACACACUACGGUGGACAGAAAGUACUGUAAUAUGCAGGUAACUACGUUGCUGAAACAGUUGAUGAUGGCAAACCUAGGGCAUGAUGGGCACUGUUGAACAUAACAAAGGUGGAUCUCCGUCCUUUGCAGCAACAGGAUCUCCGUCCUUUGCAGCAACAGCCGUCGCCUCGCAACAGCCGUCGAGCGAAGGUUGUGGUUCGGACGCCGAGGUUGCGGUGCAGUUGUGCUGAUCGCACAGCUGGCCUCGCAUGUGAACAACGAUGUGGACUGACGGCGACUGAAGUGCCGUUUCUCUUCUCGGCGCAUGCGCGGGUCGGGUCGUUGGAGCUCGUACGCGAGGAAGAACUGGCGUUUCUGUCCUUGGUGGCGACGUGCGUUGGCGGGUCGAUGGGUCGAUGGAGCUCAUUCGAUGGUUUGAUUUUUGGUCGAUGGACCUCGUUCGUGGGUUGCCGAACUGUUUUGCUGUUGGCUGGGCGUGUGAUCGUGGGGUUUGGUUCGUUUGACUGGUGGUCCAUGGGCCGAAUAUCGGAUGAGUUGCCCUUGGUUUUUUGGGCUUGCGGGUUGGAUUUUGUGCGGGCGUGUGGGACACCGCGCAAUGGCUUUCGUACGAGGCGGGGGGAUCGAACGAGGUGGUCGAACCAUCACGACGUUCGAUCCCCCUUUAAUAGUAGAGAUAUGAGGAAUCCACAAAGCAAGUCAACGGAACAGACAACAGCGGCGGAUGUACCUCCAGGUAUAUGUUCAGCUAUAAAUUUUGCUAUGCAUGUCAAACAGAUGUGUUGCAGGCCCGAUGGAGGGGACAAGUUGACGACUAUAACCCGUAUACUAUGCUUGUAGCUGAUGAUGUUGAUGAGAUUUACCCAAGUGGAUAUCAUAAUUUGUUGCUUUCUGUGUGAUCAAUCAGCCCUAACAGACUUAGUCCAGACCAAUUCUAACAGAUCAAGCGUGUGACUUGUAGGAGUCCAUACUACUUUGUCGGAAUGGAGAUCCUUGAACAGACCGAUGGUGAUAGCACAUAUGAUGCUCCAGGCCCGAUGGAGGGGACAAAUGUUGCCGACGAUGUUGACAAUAUAUACCCAAGUGGUCCAGGGGUCUCCGUUGGAACGGAUGAUACUUGAACAGCCCGAUGGUGUUAACACAUGUGUUCAUCAACCUUCUCAUCUCAUGAUGCCUUAUUCUGUCUAAUUUUUCAUUUUAUUUUACAUGAUGCAGACAACCGUACAAGUUCAUUCCUAUAUAAUGAAGCUUCGUUGCCGGCUCCGAGUAAUCUGACACAGGAUUAUGGGACAGAUGUAGCACAAAGUGCAAAUGUUGCUGUACAUGCUCAUGGUCGUGAUGCCUUAGAGGUUUUACCUCUGUCGGAUGCAACAUCCGAACACAUAACAACAGGAUCUGUCAUGAAAAAAACAUAACAGACGGAAAGAGGGAGCAGAAAAACGCCUGGAGGCGAGCUGCUUAUCGGAAGAAUAAAUAGAAUGGUGCGGUCAAGCUCCAAGCUGAAAAUCAUCCUGCCCUUACAAUGACUGAACUAUCUAGCAUCCAACUUAAUAAUGAGGAAAAGAGGGAGCAGAUAAAAGCUCGAAGGCGGGCCGCUUAUCGGAAGAAAGAUGAUGAGAGUUCCAUAAAGCUAAAUACAGAUGUGCAGAAUGUUGCACGGCAUCCUCUCGGUGAUAUCACUAAUGCGUAUCAACCAUCCUCUAUGGACGUUGACGAAAGAAAGGAGCUGAUAAAGGCGCGGAGGCGAGCUGCUUAUCGAAAGAGAAAAGAGGAGGCUACCGUCAAACAACAGAAUGAGAAUCUGUCUGCACUUACGAUAUCAGGUUAAUAUUGGAUGAAAAGUGAUGAGGGUACCAUCAAUGUACAAGCGGAUGUGCAAAAUGUUCCCAUAUCCCCUCCCGGUGAUAUCACUAAUGGGCAUCAACCAACCUCGUUGUACCUUGACGAGAAAAAGGAGCAGAUAAAGGCUCGGAGGCGAGCUACUUAUCGAAAGAAAAAAGAGGAGGCAGCCGUCAAGCAACAAAAUGAAAAUCUCCCUACCCUGACGAUAUCAGGGAAGUUGGAGAUAAACCCGUGUCCGUGACGUCUAUGUAUGUGUGUCCGUGUAGUAUACGAGUGCAUGUCAUAGUCGGUUUGGGUUGACUCUAGGUAUGAACUAUGGGUGCAGACGUUGGACCCAAACAGCUACAACAACAGAGAUAGAUGGGUAUCAAUCACUUCAAUUUGUUGACGAGUUAUAAGACGGCUACACACUAUGUUUUAUUUCUGGUUAACACCAAUUAGUUGAUUGCGUUAA